GGGGCUGAUCGGUUUCGACGGUGACCUGUUCGUCGCAGGGAAGCGUGCCGAGAACGCGGGGGUCCGCUCGUUAAUGUCCUCCCGCAAACAACAAGUGCUAAAUCUAACCGCACUGAGUUCGCUCUCGCUGCCUGAGCUUCGCGCCAGGAUUAACCAGUGAGCAGCUGCUCCGUUCACUCCCCUUCGCCUUCGGGGGGAUGCUGAGCGUCAUUAAGAAGACUUGCCUGAACUGCUGCGCCACAGGGCGGUUCGGGGACUUUUACUGCGGCUAUGCCCGCCACCGGUUGUCUGCGACACAGGUGGGGGCAGACAGAUAGCCACAAAGGCCAGCAGACUACGCACGUAGAAGACUGAGGGUGCGGUCACCGGACCGGGGUUCAAUUCCCCGCAGCUCCACAA
Molecule: non-coding RNA, 399 nt
Organism: Bifidobacterium asteroides PRL2011
Lineage: Bacteria; Bacillati; Actinomycetota; Actinomycetes; Bifidobacteriales; Bifidobacteriaceae
Source: Rfam